This 497-nucleotide ribosomal RNA is filed under the name uncultured bacterium. Its description in RNAcentral is "partial 16S ribosomal RNA". It matches the Rfam family "Bacterial small subunit ribosomal RNA", at positions 28 to 507 of the family's 1533-position model. The record is from RNAcentral.
GAUGAACGCUGGCGGCGUGCCUAAUACAUGCAAGUCGAGCGAACGGACGAGAAGCUUGCUUCUCUGAUGUUAGCGGCGGACGGGAGAGUAACACGUGGAUAACCUACCUAUAAGACUGGGAUAACUUCGGGAAACCGGAGCUAAUACCGGAUAAUAUUUUGAACCGCAUGGUUCAAAAGUGAAAGACGGUCUUGCUGUCACUUAUAGAUGGAUCCGCGCUGCAUUAGCUAGUUGGUAAGGUAACGGCUUACCAAGGCAACGAUGCAUAGCCGACCUGAGAGGGGGAUCGGCCCCGCUGCAACUGAGACACGGUCCAGACUCCGACGGGAGGCAGCCGUAGGGAAUCUUCCGCGAUGGGCGAAAGCCUGACGGAGCAACGCCGCGUGAGUGAUGAAGGUCUUCGGAUCGUAAAACACUGUUAUUAGGGAAGAACAUAUGUGUAAGUAACUGUGCACAUCUUGACGGUACCUAGUCAGAAAGCCACGGCUAACUACGUG